RNAcentral lists this ribosomal RNA (450 nucleotides) under uncultured bacterium. RNAcentral describes it as "partial 16S ribosomal RNA". It matches the Rfam family "Bacterial small subunit ribosomal RNA", at positions 354 to 796 of the family's 1533-position model. The record is from RNAcentral.
GUGGGGAAUCUUCCGCAAUGGACGAAAGUCUGACGGAGCAACGCCGCGUGAGUGAAGAAGGUUUUCGGAUCGUAAAGCUCUUUCGUUAGGGACGAACGUGCUCUUUGUGAAUAAUGAGGAGUAAUGACGGUACCUAAAUAAGAAGCCACGGCUAACUACGUGCCAGCAGCCGCGGUAAUACGUAGGGGGCAAGCGUUUUCCGGAAUUAUUGGGCGUAAAGCGCGCGCAGGCGGGAUAUCAAGUCUGUCUUAAAAGUGCGAGGCUCAACCUCGUGAGGGGACAGAAACUGGUAUUCUUGAGUGUCGGAGAGGAAAGUGGAAUUCCAAGUGUAGCGGUGAAAUGCGUAGAGAUUUGGAAGAACACCAGUGGCGAAGGCGACUUUCUGGACGAUGUCUGACGCUGAGGCGCGAAAGCUAGGGGAGCGAACGGGAUUAGAUACCCGUGUAGUCC